UGUUGCUCACCGCUGCACAGGGAUGUGUGUGUACCAGUGUUCCUUUGGCCCUCAGAGUGGCCUUUUUGACCUUCUCUGUCACAGAGGCAUGAAAUCUAAGAGAGCAUUUUCUGAAACCACAUGCUUGGCAACCUGAAAAAGGACCCAGGUUCUAAGUCCACUUCUGACCAUCUUCAGCAGCCUUAGGGACAUUCUUUGUCCUUGUUGGGCCUCCUCUUUGUAUCUACUAAAGGUGGCUGCGGCUACUAUAAGGAGCAAAUUAAAAAAUCUUACAAGAAAAUCUCCAGGAAGUAUAACAUUAAUAAUAUAAGGCAUGUCAUUUUGAAUAAAUCCGCAAUUUGAAAAUUUAUAGACAGUUUGUUCCAAAGGCACUUCAAGCACAUAACAAUGAUUCAUGUCUCUGGGAACUGCAAAUGCUGCAUGAACAGUUUGGUUAAUGGGCAAAAGUGUACUUCCAGUAUUUUUGGUUCCGGCGGGAGCCCACAUCCAGAGAUCAUUAGUCAUCGUGUUGUUUUCUAGGACAGAAUUCUACAGAGAAUGACCAUGUGUUAUGGACUAAAUGUUUGUGUUCCCCCCUCAAAUUCAUGUGUUGCAGCCCUACUCAACAUUGUGAUAGUAUUAGAAGGUGGGAGCCUUUGGGAGGUGAUUAAGUUUGGAUGAGGUCACCAGGAUGGGGCCCAUGAUGGGAUUAGUGCCCUUAUAAGAGGAGGAAGAGACACCAAAACUUGCUCUCUCUCCACCAUGUGAGGAUACAGUUAGAAGGCAGCUGUCUAGAACUCAGGAGGAGGGCCCUCACCAAGAAUCAAAUCUGCUAGCCCUUUGUUUUUGGACUUACCAGCCUCCAGAACUUUGAGAAAUAGAAGUUUGUUGUUUAAACCACUGUAUCUGUGGUAUUUUGUUAUUGAAGCCUGAACAGACUAAGAAAUCAUGGAAAAAUUUAAAACAUGAUGCUAUAAAGAUGGUUGAAAGAGCAGAUAUGUCUAGCUUGGAAAUAAGAUAUGAGAACAGGUUAUGAUAAUAUCUUUUAAAUUUUUUUAAAUUACACGAAAAUGUAAUUAUAUGCACGAUAGAUAUAGACAAGAGCAGUAAGAUAACUGUGUAAAAGACACUGGGCAAUGCAUUUUUGAAAUUUUAUCUAUGUGAGCUAAACAGGAAUGCCCGGCUCUGCAAGGUGGUGAGGAGGAAUACAGCACAAGCUGGGUGGCCCUCUCGCUGGAAUUCCUGCCUUGGAUCCCAGAGGCCCAGCCAGCUGACUUCUUCUUUCUUCCAGCCCAGGAUCCUAACCUGGACUCCAGGUGUAAUAUUGGUCUUAGGCUUAAGGAACAGUGUACUCCGUUCUCUUUCACCAAGUGGAACUCUGAUGGCUUCAUUCAGAGUAUUAAGACUAACAUAACCUUUGGACGUCAUGUCUGGAAACACUGAGAAUGUCAAAAUCAUCCUAAUGUAGAUGGCAACAAAUGUCAAGAUCACAGUGCUAAUAUAUGAAAUGGAGAAUCAAUAAGGAUUCGACCUGAGUUCAUGAAGCAAUGUUUUAUCCAUCUUGGAUGUCUCUAGGAGAUUACUGUUUCAACACAGGAACAUGGUAAUAUAUUUGGCCAGCCCCGCUAGCAAUACACUUAUUCAUUGAUUUUUCUCUCUCUCAUUUAUUUACUCAUUUUGCUCAUUUGGCCAUUCAUUCAUGGUACAACAUGUAUGAGGUGCUUACUAUGUGCCAGAGCACAUAUAAGACACAAAGAUGUCUUUCUAUUUGCAGAGGCCUGUGCUCCUGUGAGUGAGCAUUCUAUGAGCAAUGCUGAGGCUGAGAUUUCUGCCCAGGAGCAGCAUCUGACUUCCUGGGUAGGGUCCUGUUCAGAGGGGUUUGCAGGGUUGGGUGAGUAGAAAGGAUGGCUGGCAGCUGCGCUGAGGGGCAGUGACUUGAGAAACAUCAGAAGAGAGUGAGGUCUCUAAAGCAGAGGAUGCUGCAGAAGGGGGAGGUGGAGGCUGAGGCUGGGCCGGGAGUCAACUAAUGAGUAACUUUGCAUAUUACAGGAAGAGUUUUGAAUUUCUCUUCCAUAGGCAGCAGGAAUGCACUAAUGAACUUUAAGCAGGCAGCCAUCAGAUCUGCAUGCAAGAAAGCUCACUGUGAAGAUGUUAGCAGUCAACUGCAGUAACUUUAAGAAAAAGAUGAGCUGGCUUCCUCGGAAAGGCAGACCUGGAGGUUGGCCAAGAAUAAACCUGGAAUUAUUGCUCACUAUGAAGCUUAUGGCUGUGAUGUCCCGAUUGUCCAUACCUGUCAUCAACCUCCACAUGCUUUAGCAUCGUGGGAUGUCCCUGGGACUCGGGCCUUCAGGAGGCAUCAGGACUUUCUGUAGAGAUCAGUUGUCAUGUGCUCGUUCACCUGAAGACAGCCAAUGGCAUGACGGACUCUCCGGUUGUGUGUGUGCGCGCACGUGUGUGUGUGUGUGUGUGUGUGUGUGUGUGUGUGUGUGUGGUUUUCCCCAUGUUGGGUUGUGGCUGCUGAGAUACUGAGAUGAGGGGGAGCUUCUUGAAUAGACAAGGUGGCCCCAGGUUGCAUUUGGUGCAUCUCUCUCUCUCUUCCGAAGUUUGUGCGUUUGUUGUGAAUACCAUCCUUAUUUCUGAAAAUGUAAUGCCAGCUACACUGUGACCCUGGGAAAACUUAUUAUAUUGUGUGAAGGGAGGUGGGAAGGCAGCUUGGAGUUGAUUUAGAACCUUUACUCUUUACUUUUUUCACCACUAUGGCGCCUUCAGAGCUUGGGCCCAACCAAAGGCAGAUGUGGGCAGCAUGAUUGACUCUUGCUGAGCAGGUAUCAAGCACAUGCACCUCCCAGACCCCAGGUCCCAGGCUCCGUGGGACAGAGCUGCUCUGUCAUCCACGUGUGAUGUUGUACAGAGAUUAGGUGUUGACUCGACUGAGCUGAAAAGGAAUUUCUAAAAUUUUGAAAGUGGAGGUUCUUUUUGUUACUUAAGGUUUGGAAAGUUGCAUGAUUAUUUGAGAAAAAAAUUUUUAGAGCCUCACCUACCAGCAUAUAUGUAAAAUCACCUCUCUAUCACCAUGCCACUUUAUCAAUUGCUUUAUAUCCUAACCUAAUAUGGGAUAGGGCAAUUCCCCAUUUUUAUUCUUUUACAAAAAAAUGUCUACAUUUUAUUACCUCUGUGUUUGUGUAGGUUAAUUUUAGAACCUGUUCUUAUGUUUAAAAAAAUCCCAUUUGGAAUUACAUUAAACCCAUACAUAACAUU
Molecule: long non-coding RNA, 3237 nt
Organism: Pipistrellus kuhlii (Kuhl's pipistrelle)
Lineage: Eukaryota; Metazoa; Chordata; Mammalia; Chiroptera; Vespertilionidae
Exons: 2
Source: RefSeq, a predicted model, not a curated record